AUGAUUUUAGGGGGCGGGGCUAGUUGCUGCUCCCUAAUCAUCAGGAGGAGGUGCUCCGGGGCGGUUGGCUUCUCCUUCUCGUCCGGGUCGUCCAGGUCCACCUCAUGGCAGACCAGCGCCUCCGGACCAAUCUGCAAUUCUACCUCCUCAGCGGGGGAGGAGUCUGGGGCAGGCGUCCCAGGAACCACCUCUGACUCUUUAGAGGCCAUCUUGGAAGGGACUGGGGGAGUUUCGGGACAAGGGGCCUCCAGCUGUCUCCUUUCAGGACGGAGCUUCUUGUCAGUUUCUCGCUGCUCUGCGGCCUUUCGUUUUAAUGUGGAGCUGCUCCUCUUCUCAGGAAUCUGCGGUGGGAGACUCGGGGGAGAGGCGCUGGGUGGGAAGGCAGUGGAGAACCACCAUGGGCUCGUCCUGUCUCUUCAGGACGCUACAAGGAGGAGACACCUCCUUGUGGGCAGGGCAGGUGCUGAGGAAGAUUCUGGGAGGAGUUUCGGAGACCGUCUCCCUGAGGGCCCUGCGACCUUUGACCCUGGGAGAGGACAGAGGAGUGGACCUGCUGUCCUCCUCCUCUGCUGA
Molecule: long non-coding RNA, 573 nt
Organism: Gasterosteus aculeatus (three-spined stickleback)
Lineage: Eukaryota; Metazoa; Chordata; Actinopteri; Perciformes; Gasterosteidae
Source: Ensembl